UUCUAGGUUUUAUGUAUUAUACUAUUUUUUUUAUUUCUUUGUACGGGGUGGCACUUUGUAUACUUCUAUAUUGCCUAAAUAUGAAGGUUAUACAAUAAUGAAAGUGAUGAAUGGUGGCCACGACAAUAUUUAUAUUUUUUUUGUGGUAAACAGGGCUUUUGGAGAUUUUAUGUACUCCGAGAUUUUUUUAUUUUUUGUUCUUUCAAUCGAUUGUACAUUUAUAAAGUGAAGGUUAUAUACUCUAAUGAAAGAGAACCAAGUGAAAU
Molecule: long non-coding RNA, 266 nt
Filed under: Amborella trichopoda
Lineage: Eukaryota; Viridiplantae; Streptophyta; Magnoliopsida; Amborellales; Amborellaceae
Description: long non-coding RNA (ATRI_LNC002888)
Source: RNAcentral